UCAAGGUUCCCUGCCUCUUGUGGGGCAAGGGAUGAAAAGGGAAUCAGGUGAGAAUCCUGAGCAGUACCCGCUGCUGUAACUCCCUGACAACACUUCGCGCGGCAUCAUGCCACUGGUUGCAAACGCUUGGAGUAUGCAUCAUCACCGGGAAGGCGCCGACGCGAAGGGGGAGAAGCCAGAAGACCUGCCUUCAC
This 194-nucleotide non-coding RNA is filed under the name bovine gut metagenome. The record is from RNAcentral.